ACGAACGCUGGCGGCCUGCCUAACCCAUGCCAGUCGAACGCGACCUUCGGGUCUAGUGGCGCACGGGUGCGUAACGCGUGGGAACCUGCCCUUAGGUUCGGAAUAACUCCCCGAAAGGGGUGCUAAUACCGGAUAAUGUCUUCGGACCAAAGAUUUAUCGCCUUUGGAUGGGCCCGCGUUGGAUUAGCUAGUUGGUAGGGUAAAAGCCUACCAAGGCGACGAUCCAUAGCUGGUCUGAGAGGAUGAUCAGCCACACUGGGACUGAGACACGGCCCAGACUCCUACGGGAGGCAGCAGUGGGGAAUAUUGGACAAUGGGCGAAAGCCUGAUCCAGCAAUGCCGCGUGAGUGAUGAAGGCCUUAGGGUUGUAAAGCUCUUUUACCCGGGAUGAUAAUGACAGUACCGGGAGAAUAAGCUCCGGCUAACUCCGUG
Molecule: ribosomal RNA, 432 nt
Filed under: uncultured bacterium
Lineage: Bacteria
Description: partial 16S ribosomal RNA
Rfam family: Bacterial small subunit ribosomal RNA
Source: RNAcentral